Molecule: non-coding RNA, 72 nt
Organism: Aedes albopictus (Asian tiger mosquito)
Lineage: Eukaryota; Metazoa; Arthropoda; Insecta; Diptera; Culicidae
Source: Rfam
CUUCUCGUGGUGUAAUUGGUAACUCGCUUGUCUAGUGAGUAGAAGUCGUGAGUUCGAGUCUCACCGAGAGCA